UGGGGAAUUUUGGACAAUGGGCGAAAGCCUGAUCCAGCAAUGCCGCGUGUGUGAAGAAGGCCUUCGGGUUGUAAAGCACUUUUGUCCGGGAAAGAAAUCCUCUGGGUUAAUACCUCGGGGGGAUGACGGUACCGGAAGAAUAAGCACCGGCUAACUACGUGCCAGCAGCCGCGGUAAUACGUAGGGUGCAAGCGUUAAUCGGAAUUACUGGGCGUAAAGCGUGCGCAGGCGGUUUUGUAAGACGGAUGUGAAAUCCCCGGGGCUUAACCUGGGAACUGCAUUCGUGACUGCAAGGCUAGAGUAUGGCAGAGGGGGGUUAGAAUUCCACGUGUGAGCAGUGAAAUGCGUAGAGAUGUGGAGGAAUACCGAUGGCGAAGGCAGCCCCCUGGGCCAAGUACUGACGCUCAUGCACGAAAGCGU
RNAcentral lists this ribosomal RNA (420 nucleotides) under uncultured bacterium. RNAcentral's name for it is "partial 16S ribosomal RNA". It matches the Rfam family "Bacterial small subunit ribosomal RNA", at positions 355 to 762 of the family's 1533-position model. The record is from RNAcentral.